CCUACGGGUGGCAGCAGUGAGGAAUAUUGGUCAAUGGACGAGAGUCUGAACCAGCCAAGUAGCGUGAAGGAUGACUGCCCUAUGGGUUGUAAACUUCUUUUAUAUGGGAAUAAAAUGUUCCACGUGUGGGAUUUUGUAUGUACCAUAUGAAUAAAGAUAGGCUAACGCCGUGCCAUCAGCCGCGGUAAUACGGAGGAUCCGAGCGUUAUCUGGAUUUAUUGGGUUUAAAGGGACAGUAGGUGGAUUGUUAAGUCAGUUGUGAAAGUUUGUGGCUCAAACGUAAAAUUGCAGUUGAAACUGGCAGUCUUGAGUACAGUAGAGGUGGGCAGAAUUCGUGGUGUAGCGGUGAAAUGCUUAGAGAUCACGAAGAACUCCGAUUGCGAAGGCAGCUCACUGGACUGCAACUGACACUGAGGCUCGAAAGUGUGGGUAUCAAACAGGAUUAGAUACCCUGGUAGUC
RNAcentral lists this ribosomal RNA (460 nucleotides) under uncultured bacterium. RNAcentral's name for it is "partial 16S ribosomal RNA". It matches the Rfam family "Bacterial small subunit ribosomal RNA", at positions 338 to 795 of the family's 1533-position model. The record is from RNAcentral.